Molecule: transfer RNA, 75 nt
Filed under: Ixodes scapularis (black-legged tick)
Lineage: Eukaryota; Metazoa; Arthropoda; Arachnida; Ixodida; Ixodidae
Description: tRNA-Thr for anticodon AGU
Source: RNAcentral
GCUUUUGGUUAGCUCAGUCGGUAGAGCGCUCCGCUAGUCUUGGAGAGGUCCCGGUAUCGAAUCCCGGACCAGGCG